RNAcentral lists this long non-coding RNA (663 nucleotides) under Oryzias sinensis (Chinese medaka). RNAcentral describes it as "lncRNA (ENSOSIG00000010991.1)". The record is from RNAcentral. Lineage: Eukaryota; Metazoa; Chordata; Actinopteri; Beloniformes; Adrianichthyidae.
UUCCAAUUGAAUACAACUUCUCAAAAAAUUGGACUCAUCGUUUCGUUUAUUUGAUCUUUUAAUUUUUGUAGAUUCUUUAGAAGCUUCUUUUUACCAAGUAGUUUUUCUGAUGUGCUGCUUUUUUAUUGUGUUAUUGUGUUAAAUGGUGCCUAUUUGUAACCAGGUAGGCCUAUGCACAAAGAAAAAUUCCUGCAAAAUAAAGAAAAGUAUCCCAAAAUAAUCCCCUCAUAACUGCUCAAAUAAGCGUCUUCAUUUUUAAACUGUAGUGAAUCCAGCAGAAGUUCAGAGAGUUUCAAUCCCGUCUGUGAUUGAAGUUAAAUUAGAGGAAACUUUAGUCCAACUUCAAGACUUGAACCCACAUCUGAGAGGAUCAAACCAGAUGAUGAUGGAAAACUGACCAUUUUUAUUCGUUCUUUUUUAUUGAUUUCUAAAAGCUGGAGAUGUCCAGAGGAUCCAGCAAACUGCGGCUCGUUCUCUGCGGUCACCUGUUGUCUGUCUCCUCCGUGACGGCAUCCACGAGGGGGCGUGGCUGCCAGAUCUAAACGGGAAGCGGGUCACUGCGGGGAACGUAAACAGUCCUCACGCUGCGUUGCAGGAUGAAGCGUUUCCCGGUGGGAGCGUGACGGAUUCGGGGGCGGUAUCUACAGUAACGGGUGCAGAUCU